UAAGGAAUAUUGGUCAAUGGAGGCAACUCUGAACCAGCCAUGCCGCGUGAAGGAUUAAGGCCCUCUGGGUUGUAAACUUCUUUUAUAUGGGAAGAAAUGUACUUUUUCUAAAGUGCUUGACGGUACCAUAGGAAUAAGCACCGGCUAACUCCGUGCCAGCAGCCGCGGUAAUACGGAGGGUGCAAGCGUUAUCCGGAUUUACUGGGUUUAAAGGGUGCGUAGGCGGAUGAAUAAGUCAGUGGUGAAAUCUCCGAGCUUAACUCGGAAACUGCCGUUGAUACUAUUUGUCUUGAAUAUUGUGGAGGUAAGCGGAAUAUGUCAUGUAGCGGUGAAAUGCUUAGAUAUGGCAUAGAACACCAAUUGCGAAGGCAGCUUGCUACACAAUCAUUGACGCUGAGGCACGAAAGCGUGGGGAUCAAAC
Molecule: ribosomal RNA, 421 nt
Filed under: uncultured bacterium
Lineage: Bacteria
Description: bacterial SSU rRNA
Rfam family: Bacterial small subunit ribosomal RNA
Source: RNAcentral